GAAACGGCAAAUGCCCCUUUGACUUUCGUUUCCAGAAUUAAAAGUACCUCGAAAAGAAUGGUGUUGCUUUUUUUUUUUUUUUUUGCACAGGUGC
RNAcentral lists this ribosomal RNA (94 nucleotides) under Platyophrya macrostoma. RNAcentral describes it as "partial Eukaryotic large subunit ribosomal RNA". The record is from RNAcentral. Lineage: Eukaryota; Ciliophora; Colpodea; Cyrtolophosidida; Platyophryidae.